Molecule: ribosomal RNA, 464 nt
Filed under: uncultured bacterium
Lineage: Bacteria
Description: bacterial SSU rRNA
Rfam family: Bacterial small subunit ribosomal RNA
Source: RNAcentral
GUACGGGAGGCAGCAGCUAAGAAUCUUCCGCAAUGGGCGAAAGCCUGACGGAGCGACGCCGCGUGGAUGAUGAAGGCCGAAAGGUUGUAAAAUCCUUUUCUUGGAGAAGAAUAACGAUUGGAGUGGAAUGCCAGUCGGAUGACAUUAACUAGGGAAUAAGCCCCGGCUAAUUACGUGCCAGCAGCCGCGGUAAUACGUAUGGGGCGAGCGUUGUUCGGAUUUAUUGGGCGUAAAGGGCGUGUAGGCGGUUUCGUAAGCCCGGUGUGAAAUAUUCAGGCUUAACCUGAAAAACGCGCUGGGAACUGCGAGACUAGAGUUCAGGAGGGGAAGCUGGAAUUCCAGGUGUAGGGGUGAAAUCUGUAGAUAUCUGGAAGAACACCAAAGGCGAAGGCAAGCUUCUGGCCAUGGACUGACGCUGAGGCGCGAAAGCGUGGGGAGCAAACAGGAUUAGAUACCCCGGUAGC